CACACUGGGACUGAGACACGGCCCAGACUCCUACGGGAGGCAGCAGUGGGGAAUAUUGCACAAUGGGCGAAAGCCUGAUGCAGCGACGCCGCGUGAGGGAUGAAGGCCUUCGGGUUGUAAACCUCUUUCAGCAGGGAAGAAGCGCAAGUGACGGUACCUGCAGAAGAAGCGCCGGCUAACUACGUGCCAGCAGCCGCGGUAAUACGUAGGGCGCAAGCGUUGUCCGGAAUUAUUGGGCGUAAAGAGCUCGUAGGCGGUUUGUCGCGUCUGGUGUGAAAACUCGAGGCUCAACCUCGAGCUUGCAUCGGGUACGGGCAGACUAGAGUGCGGUAGGGGAGACUGGAAUUCCUGGUGUAGCGGUGGAAUGCGCAGAUAUCAGGAGGAACACCGAUGGCGAAGGCAGGUCUCUGGGCCGCAACUGACGCUGAGGAGCGAAAGCAUGGGGAGCGAACAGGAUUAGAUACCCUGGUAGUCCAUGCCGUAAACGUUGGGCACUAGGUGUGGGGCUCAUUCCACGAGUUCCGUGCCGCAGCAAACGCAUUAAGU
RNAcentral lists this ribosomal RNA (546 nucleotides) under Cellulosimicrobium cellulans. RNAcentral's name for it is "bacterial SSU rRNA". It matches the Rfam family "Bacterial small subunit ribosomal RNA", at positions 309 to 865 of the family's 1533-position model. The record is from RNAcentral. Lineage: Bacteria; Bacillati; Actinomycetota; Actinomycetes; Micrococcales; Promicromonosporaceae.